UCCUUUAAGCUGUUGGAUGUAAAAGGUA
RNAcentral lists this non-coding RNA (28 nucleotides) under Bombyx mori (domestic silkworm). Lineage: Eukaryota; Metazoa; Arthropoda; Insecta; Lepidoptera; Bombycidae. The record is from RNAcentral.